UAGAUACCCUAUUAUACUAAUAAGAAAUUUAAAAUACUUAAUUAAUAAACAGUUAUGACCUUGAAAUUUAAAGAAUUUGGCGGUAUUUUAGUCUGAUUAAAGGAACCUGUUUAAUAAAUGAUACAACACAUAUAAUUUUUCUUCUUUUUUGUAAGUACAGCUUGUAUACCGUCAUUACUUAAGAUAUUUUGUAAAUAUAAAUAUCAAGAUAAAGUUGUUAUUUAAAAUAUUAGAUCAAGGUGCAGCUAAUAAAGAAGUAAGGAAUGGGUUACAAUAAAAUUAAUUUAAAACGGAUGUAAAGGUUGAAUAAUUUUUAUUGAAGGUGGAUUUAGGAGUAAUUAUAUUUUAAUAUGUUAUAAUGAUUAUGUAGCUCUAAAAUAUGUACACAUCGCCC
This 394-nucleotide ribosomal RNA is filed under the name Eupasiphae latirostris. RNAcentral's name for it is "partial 12S ribosomal RNA". Lineage: Eukaryota; Metazoa; Arthropoda; Malacostraca; Decapoda; Pasiphaeidae. The record is from RNAcentral.